AUCUAACCUGGUGUCGGUCUCGCC
Molecule: non-coding RNA, 24 nt
Filed under: Arabidopsis thaliana (thale cress)
Lineage: Eukaryota; Viridiplantae; Streptophyta; Magnoliopsida; Brassicales; Brassicaceae
Source: RNAcentral